This 2980-nucleotide unclassified non-coding RNA is filed under the name Rhipicephalus microplus (southern cattle tick). RNAcentral describes it as "ankyrin repeat domain-containing protein 13D-like, transcript variant X2". The record is from RNAcentral. Lineage: Eukaryota; Metazoa; Arthropoda; Arachnida; Ixodida; Ixodidae.
UAUAAAUUAUUUCUUGUUUAUUUCAUUGAACGCCAUCAUGGAGGUUUGUCUCUGAUGUGAGGAUGCUGUGCCGGUGAGAGAGAACACUUCGUGGUUGCUUCGUAGCGGAUGCAAUGACGUAUCGCCUUAAUAUCGUACCUAGUCACCGAAACUCUACAUAACGCAAGUAUGUCGGACAAACUGAAAGCGGCGUUGCAAGAGGAGUACCCGCUCCAUUGGCUCGCUUGGCACAACGACUACGAAGCCCUAAAAGCACUCCUCGAAAAGAGCACAGAAAACAUUGAACAGCGUGACUGCCGGGGUCGGACAGCCCUGAUGCUGGCCGUCACCCUGGGACAUCUCGAAGCGUCGAAGAUACUUCUCAACCAUGGCGCCAAUGUCAAUGUGGAGAACAACGACGGCUACACAGUGGUGCAUGAAGCAGUGAGCACGGGCGACCCUGAGCUUCUGGCGGAAGUUCUGACCCAGCGAGACCUACAACGCUACAGCACGUCAGUCGGGGGUAUCCCUGAUCUUUUGAAGCGCAUCCGGGACACCCCAGACUUCUAUGUGGAGAUGAAGUGGGAGUUUACAAGCUGGGUACCUCUUCUGUCUAGAAUGUGUCCAAGUGACACCUACAAGGUCUACAAGAGCGGAGCUAAUGUACGGAUAGACACCACUCUGCUUGGAUUUGACCAGUCCAACUGGCAGCGUGGCCGCAGGAGCUACAUAUUCAAGGGGCAAGAGGAUCUCGCACUGAUGAUGGAGGUGGACCACGACAGCUGCCAGGUUCAUGUGGAGCAAAUGCAGGUGUUGCCGCCCGAGUACGUCGACCUCACGGGGAGCUUGCGGCCUUCGCAGGAGGCCAUCUCGGCACGCCUCACCUCUCCCGUCGUGGCCACCUACAUAGACACCGACAAGAUCAGCUUUGAAAGGAACAAGUCUGGAAUACUCGGCUGGAAGAGUGACAAGAGCGAAACGAUCAAUGGCCACAACUGCAAAGUGUUCAGUGCAACAAAUGUGGAACUCGUAACCAAGACCAGGGUGGAGCACCUUUCUGAAGCAGACAAGGCACGUCACAAGGCUGCACGGUCGCCAUUGCAGUCUUUCUUGGGCACUGUCGAGGUGGAAGAAGGUGCCGCUCUGGAAAUGCCAAACGGGGAUGUGACGGAGUGGCGGGGCAACCCUUGCCACAUUCGUCCAGAAGAAUAUUUUAACGCCAAAGUGGACUUGGGAGGCCGAGAUAUCGGGCGACCGAGAGAGGCAACAGUACGCACCCAAAAGUUUCGUGCCAAUCUAUGGCUCUGCGAGGACUAUCCGCUGUCCUUACCUCAGCAGAUUCUUCCAAUUGUAGACCUCAUGUCAAUCAACAGCAACCACUUUGCCAGACUACGGGACUUCAUCACGCUGCAACUGCCAGCGGGCUUCCCAGUCAAAAUUGAGAUUCCCCUGUUCCAUGUGCUCAACGCCCGAAUCACCUUUGGCAACAUCAACGCCUUUGACGAGCCCGUCCCAGGGGUGACCACGAUGCGGGAGCAGGGAACAGUCAUGUGCAAGAUUGACGAGAGCUGCUUUGAGGCCCCCAGCAGCUACGCACGGCUCGACGGCCUGAGUGCCCGCCGCGCUUCCCGCCGCCGUGCACCGCUGAGCCCCGAGAGUAGACGCAAACGUAGGGAGAAGCGCCGGCAGGAGGUGUGCGCAAAAUACACUCAAGGAGGGUUGCAGCAACCCCUGGCCAUUCCAAAGGGCCAACAGUCGCUGGCGCAAACAAAAUGCGACAAUUCAACAUCAACGACGAGGACGACGAACUCCUCCAAUACGCCAUCGAGCAGUCGUUCGUGGAGGCAAGCGGAGAGGAGAAUCAGGUCACUGUUUGGGAAGCUCUGACGACUGACCAGACGGGCAUUGCACCGGAGCUGGAAGAGGACCACGCCUUGCAGAGGGCCAUCCAGGAGAGCCUGGCCAGUUACCAGAAGUCAGUUGGUGUUGCGGAUGGAGGGAUCACUGUAGGUGCUGUGAUCCAACAGCAGCCACAGCCACAGGAGCAACAGCAGCAGCAGCAAGAGAGCAACGAGUGGGCCUUGGGUGCCAGCGGAGGCACAGAAUUGGCCAUGGCACUGCGCCUGUCACAACAGGUCAAGGAAGAAGAGGACCGACGCCGGCGAGAAGAAGACGAGAUGCUCGAGCGCAUUCUUCAGCUUUCCAUGACCGAGAAGUAGGGAAGCGGCAUCCGUCACCUUUCAUCCACGCUCGAAGCUGAGCUGUGUUGGAACUCUGCCCUGCUUCGUUGGCAGUGCAGGCAUCCAUCCUUCCCUUUCCUAUCGGCCCUCCCUGCCUUUUUAUCCUUCUCUUUCACUGAUUUUACGCAUCGUGUGCAAGUCUGUUCUCGAAUGUGUGCCGAGAUAAAUUUAAAAAAUGCCUCAUUUUGUUUGUUAGAUGACAGCCCAAAGAAAUCGGGGCAUAAGUGGAGGAGCUGAUGCCAAGGGCAGUCCGUUGGAUGCUGUUUCGCUUGCUUUCGCUGUUUUAAUAAAAUUUCUAUAUUAUGAACGUAAGGUAGUUAGGUGCACGCCGAGAUUUUUGAACGAGUGAGAGGUAGCUUCAAAGCCAGCUGCAUUUUAGCAAGCUACAGAAGUUUGUUCGUUGCAGCCAAACCAACUUGCCUCGGGAAUCGCCUAGCAGAUUGUAACAUAUUUAUAAUUCUACAUAAUGUACAGCACUGAGCACAAGCCACAUUCGUGCAUUGUAAUGGAGGCACUGUACAAAAGCGUUCUGCCCCAUAACUUGCACAUCAAGGCUGAAGGAGGCACCUAUGGCAACCAAAUAAAGUUGGGACUCCAGAGAACCUUUCCUAACGGGCAAGUGAAGACUUUUUUUUUUCUUGUGAUGGCUCUCACUAUGCUGCAGAUUGGCAGGGUUUUUGUGUGUGUUUUUAUUGCAAGCAGAAACAAGUGGAUUAUCGGCAAGUCUGAUUGAUGAGUGCUGACAUACAGAACUUUUCUUG